RNAcentral lists this ribosomal RNA (512 nucleotides) under uncultured bacterium. Its description in RNAcentral is "partial 16S ribosomal RNA". It matches the Rfam family "Bacterial small subunit ribosomal RNA", at positions 28 to 523 of the family's 1533-position model. The record is from RNAcentral.
GACGAACGCUGGCGGCGUGCCUAAUACAUGCAAGUCGAGCGGAACUGGGGGAGCUUGCUCCUUCCAGUUUAGCGGCGGACGGGUGAGUAACACGUGGGCAACCUGCCCUGCAGAUCGGGAUAACUCCGGGAAGCCGGUGCUAAUACCGAAUAGUUUGGCGCCUCUCCUGAGGCGCUACGGAAAGACGGUUUCGGCUGUCACUGCAGGAUGGGCCCGCGGCGCAUUAGCUAGUUGGUGGGGUAACGGCCCACCAAGGCGACGAUGCGUAGCCGACCUGCGAGGGUGACCGGCCACACUGGGACUGAGACACGGCCCAGACUCCUACGGGAGGCAGCAGUAGGGAAUCUUCCGCAAUGGACGCAAGUCUGACGGAGCAACGCCGCGUGAGUGACGAAGGUUUUCGGAUCGUAAAACUCUGUUGUGAGGGAAGAACACGUACCAACUAACUAUUGGUACCUUGACGGUACCUCACCAGAAAGCCACGGCUAACUACGUGCCAGCCGCCGCCGUAA